CUUACAGCACCACACACAAAGACCAAAAGCUUAAAAUGUAUGUGUGUAAGUACAUGCAAGCUUGAGGCACUGCAAGCAUGAUGCAUUAAAAAAAAUAGAAAUCGAGCUUACAAACAUGGGGCAUCGUUUCUGGGUGUUGUUGCAUGCCUGUGCAGUGACAUGCAUUCCCCAGGCACCAAGCACAUGCAGCAAAGGGCAAUAACAGCGCCUGCAAGAUUGGGGCAACGUUUCUGGGUGUUGUUGCAUGCCUGUGCAAUGAAAUGCAUUCCCCAGGCACCAAGCACAUGCAGCAAAGGGCAAUAACAGCGCCUGCAAGAUUGGGGCAUCGUUUCUGGGUGUUGUUGCAUGCCUGUGCAAUCAAAUGCAUUCCCCAGGCACCAAGCACAUGCAGCAAAAGGCAAUAACAGCGCCUGCAAGAUUGGGGCAACGUUUCUGGGUGUUGUUGCAUGCCUGUGCAGUGACAUGCAUUCCCCAGGCACCAAGCACAUGCAGCAAAAGGCAAUAACAGCGCCUGCAAGAUUGGGGCAACGUUUCUGGGUGUUGUUGCAUGCCUGUGCAAUCACAUGCAUUCCCCAGGCACCAAGCACAUGCAGCAAAAGGCAAUAACAGCGCCUGCAAGAUUGGGGCAACGUUUCUGGGUGUUGUUGCAUGCCUGUGCAAUGAAAUGCAUUCCCCAGGCACCAAGCACAUGCAGCAAAGGGCAAUAACAGCGCCUGCAAGAUUGGGGCAUCGUUUCUGGGUGUUGUUGCAUGCCUGUGCAGUGACAUGCAUUCUCCCUAGCAAACACUACAACUCAACAUCCCUACGAUGGCGCUUGUAAUGUGGCAAAACAGAUCGUCACCAGGGGUUCGCACGUGGUCCCCCACCGUACUACUGAUCUGGCCCAAUGUUGCUUAUGUGCCCAGUGCUGAUGGGAUGNGCAGUGUUCAACAUGGUAUGAACGAUCCAUGUCCAUACCGAAAUCUGGACUGUACCUACACCUGUAUUGCAGCCAUAUAUUAUACUUUACACAUAUACCAAAAACCCAACCCAAAACAUUGUCCCCAAUCACAAAGCAGCAGCUGAUAACAUCCAUUAGUCAGGCNNN
Molecule: long non-coding RNA, 1087 nt
Filed under: Volvox carteri
Lineage: Eukaryota; Viridiplantae; Chlorophyta; Chlorophyceae; Chlamydomonadales; Volvocaceae
Description: long non-coding RNA (VCAR_LNC004113)
Source: RNAcentral